GGCCUCGUAGCUUAAUGGGUAGAGCGUACGUUUUACAAAGGCGUAGGCGGCGUCAAUGCUUGAGUUCGAAUCCCACUGUGACUA
This 84-nucleotide transfer RNA is filed under the name Echinostoma caproni. It matches the Rfam family "tRNA". From Rfam's summary of the family: Transfer RNA (tRNA) molecules are approximately 80 nucleotides in length. Their secondary structure includes four short double-helical elements and three loops (D, anti-codon, and T loops). Further hydrogen bonds mediate the characteristic L-shaped molecular structure. tRNAs have two regions of fundamental functional importance: the anti-codon, which is responsible for specific mRNA codon recognition, and the 3' end, to which the tRNAs corresponding amino acid is attached (by aminoacyl-tRNA synthetases). tRNAs cope with the degeneracy of the genetic code in two manners: having more than one tRNA (with a specific anti-codon) for a particular amino acid; and 'wobble' base-pairing, i.e. permitting non-standard base-pairing at the 3rd anti-codon position. The record is from Rfam by way of RNAcentral. Lineage: Eukaryota; Metazoa; Platyhelminthes; Trematoda; Plagiorchiida; Echinostomatidae.